This 629-nucleotide ribosomal RNA is filed under the name Monitoriella sp. RDB-2000. RNAcentral describes it as "eukaryotic LSU rRNA". It matches the Rfam family "Eukaryotic large subunit ribosomal RNA", at positions 386 to 798 of the family's 3401-position model. Lineage: Eukaryota; Metazoa; Arthropoda; Insecta; Hymenoptera; Braconidae. The record is from RNAcentral.
CCUGAGAAACCCAAAAGAUCGAAUGGGGAGAUUCAUCGUCAGCUCAUUUUAUAUAUAUAUAAGUUGUGAUGCGAGUUACUCUUGAGUAUUGCUUGUACAUACUUAUAUGUUUAUCUGUAAAAUGUUGUCGGCGUGCACUUCUCCCCUAGUAGAACGUCGCAACCCGUUAAGUGUCGGUCUACGACCAAAGCUGUUAGCCUUUAGUAUUUUUAAUAUUAAAGACACCUUGUGUUUUCUGACCGGCUACUUGACGGUACUCUUAUGGUAUUUAGCCGCAUUUAUUUGCGUCCAUAUCCGUCACAAGUGAGGCCAAUUUCUGGUAGUCACGGAUUUUAUGCCGUCACUGGAAUUGGCCAAUUGUUGGUUGUACGUGAUUCUAGGACUGGCUAAAACUAAUUACCGGUUAGCGAUGCUAUUGCUUUGGGUACUUUCAGGACCCGUCUUGAAACACGGACCAAGGAGUCUAACAUGUACGCAAGUCAUUGGGAUUUUUUAUGAAAGUAAAACCUAAAGGCGUAAUGAAAGUAAAAGUCGUUCCUUGUGUCGACUGAAGGAGGAUGAGCUGUGUUAAGAUACAGCUUCGCACUCCUGGGGCGUCUCAUUCUCAUUAUGAGUAGAGGCGCACCUAG